RNAcentral lists this microRNA precursor (64 nucleotides) under Scleropages formosus (Asian bonytongue). RNAcentral describes it as "mir-722 microRNA precursor family". It matches the Rfam family "mir-722 microRNA precursor family". The record is from Rfam by way of RNAcentral. Lineage: Eukaryota; Metazoa; Chordata; Actinopteri; Osteoglossiformes; Osteoglossidae.
AUUUGAAACGUUUUAGCCAAAAAUCUUGCCAUGGUGGUGUUUUUUGCAGAAACGUUUCAGAUUU